ACGAACGCUGGCGGCGUGCCUAAUACAUGCAAGUCGAGCGGACGAAUCGAAAGCUUGCUUUUGAUUCGUUAGCGGCGGCCGGGUGAGUAACACGUGGGCAACCUGCCCUGUAGACGGGGAUAACACCGAGAAAUCGGUGCUAAUACCGGAUAACACGAAAUGUCGCAUGACGUUUCGUUGAAAGACGGCGCAAGCUGCCGCUACAGGAUGGGCCCGCGGCGCAUUAGCUAGUUGGUGAGGUAACGGCUCACCAAGGCGACGAUACGUAGCCGACCUGAGAGGGUGAUCGGCCACACUGGGACUGAGACACGGCCCAGACUCCUACGGGAGGCAGCAGUAGGGAAUCUUCCGCAAUGGACGAAAGUCUGACGGAGCAACGCCGCGUGAGCGAAGAAGGCCUUCGGGUCGUAAAGCUCUGUUGUUAGGGAAGAACAAGUAACGCAGUAACUGGCGUUACCGUGACGGUACCUAACGAGAAAGCCACGGCUAACUACGUG
Molecule: ribosomal RNA, 497 nt
Filed under: uncultured bacterium
Lineage: Bacteria
Description: partial 16S ribosomal RNA
Rfam family: Bacterial small subunit ribosomal RNA
Source: RNAcentral